UUAAAAAGCUCGUAGUUGGAUUUCUGUGGAGGACGGCCGGUCCGCAUUUUGUGCGUGUAUCUGGUACGGCCUUUGCAUCCUCUUGUGGAACGUUACGGUGCUUGAUUGCAUUGUGCGGAAUGCAAGACUUUUACUUUGAGGAAAUUAGAGUGUUCACGGCAGGCAUGCGCCUUGAAUAUAUUAGCAUGGAAUAAUAAUAUAGGCUUUUCGCCCUAUUUUGUUGGUUUCUAGAGCGAAGAGAAUGGUUA
RNAcentral lists this ribosomal RNA (248 nucleotides) under uncultured marine eukaryote. RNAcentral describes it as "partial 18S ribosomal RNA". It matches the Rfam family "Eukaryotic small subunit ribosomal RNA", at positions 619 to 871 of the family's 1831-position model. The record is from RNAcentral.